This 460-nucleotide ribosomal RNA is filed under the name uncultured bacterium. Its description in RNAcentral is "partial 16S ribosomal RNA". It matches the Rfam family "Bacterial small subunit ribosomal RNA", at positions 338 to 795 of the family's 1533-position model. The record is from RNAcentral.
CCUACGGGUGGCUGCAGUGAGGAAUAUUGGUCAAUGGACGAGAGUCUGAACCAGCCAAGUAGCGUGAAGGAUGACUGCCCUAUGGGUUGUAAACUUCUUUUAUAUGGGAAUAAAAUGUUCCACGUGUGGGAUUUUGUAUGUACCGUAUGAAUAAGGAUCGGCUAACUCCGUGCCAGCAGCCGCGGUAAUACGGAGGAUCCGAGCGUUAUCCGGAUUUAUUGGGUUUAAAGGGAGCGUAGGUGGAUUGUUAAGUCAGUUGUGAAAGUUUGCGGCUCAACCGUAAAAUUGCCGGUGAUACUGGCAGUCUUGAGUACAGUAGAGGUGGGCGGAAUGCGUGGUGUAGCGGUGAAAUGCUUAGAUAUCACGAAGAACUCCGAUUGCGAAGGCAGUUCACUGGACUGCAACUGACACUGAGGCUCGAAAGUGUGGGUAUCAAACAGGAUUAGAUACCCCGGUAGUC